This 67-nucleotide transfer RNA is filed under the name Hynobius chinensis (Chinese salamander). Its description in RNAcentral is "tRNA-Cys". Lineage: Eukaryota; Metazoa; Chordata; Amphibia; Caudata; Hynobiidae. RNAcentral also lists the same sequence under 1 other name. The record is from RNAcentral.
AGCCUUGUGGUGUAAGUGCACAUAAAAUUGCAAAUUUUAAAGGAAGAAUUUAGUUUCUUCGGGGCUU